Molecule: ribosomal RNA, 229 nt
Filed under: uncultured bacterium
Lineage: Bacteria
Description: partial 16S ribosomal RNA
Rfam family: Bacterial small subunit ribosomal RNA
Source: RNAcentral
UGAGCAAUCUGCCCUUCUCUUUGGAAUAAGCGUUGGAAACGACGUCUAAUGCCGAAUACGACCUCCUUUCGCAUGAUCGGAGGUGGAAAGCUCCGGCGGAGAAGGAUGAGCUCGCGGCCUAUCAGCUAGUUGGUGUGGGUAAUGGCCCACCAAGGCGACGACGGGUAGCCGACCUGAGAGGGUGACCGGCCACACUGGGACUGAGACACGGCCCAGACUCCGUAGGGAA